GGGGAAUUGGCGCAGUUGGCAGCGCGUGUCCUUAGCAUGGACAAGGUCGCCGGUUCGAUUCCGGCAUUCUCCA
Transfer RNA from Fragilariopsis cylindrus CCMP1102, 73 nucleotides. It matches the Rfam family "tRNA". Rfam says of the family: Transfer RNA (tRNA) molecules are approximately 80 nucleotides in length. Their secondary structure includes four short double-helical elements and three loops (D, anti-codon, and T loops). Lineage: Eukaryota; Bacillariophyta; Bacillariophyceae; Bacillariales; Bacillariaceae. The record is from Rfam.